This is a long non-coding RNA of Megalobrama amblycephala (Wuchang bream), 200 nucleotides long. RefSeq lists it as uncharacterized. The transcript is spliced from 3 exons. NCBI's taxonomy places the organism in Eukaryota, Metazoa, Chordata, Actinopteri, Cypriniformes, Xenocyprididae. The record is from RefSeq and is a predicted model, not a curated record.
GGGUUAGGGUUAGGAGUUGUAAAAUACAACAGCUCCCCCCAACCUAGAACCCGUCUAGGAAGGGUUAGGGUUAGGUUUUUUGGGGUUUACAACGAACUCCCCCACACGAUCUCACCAGACGGUGUGGUUUGGUUUAGGGAGAACGAGGAAAGGCACGGGCCGGCGCAUGUUUUUGAGAGUGGAGGAACUGUGAAUUCCGG